GUGCAAUGAUGUGUGAAUUUCUUCACCUGAAAUCACCGUGAAGAGUAAUUUAAGUAAUCGAGCUUUUUAACCCUGAGUCACA
Rattus norvegicus (Norway rat) is the source of this 82-nucleotide small nucleolar RNA. The record is from Ensembl. NCBI's taxonomy places the organism in Eukaryota, Metazoa, Chordata, Mammalia, Rodentia, Muridae.